Molecule: ribosomal RNA, 115 nt
Filed under: Pteropus alecto (black flying fox)
Lineage: Eukaryota; Metazoa; Chordata; Mammalia; Chiroptera; Pteropodidae
Source: RNAcentral
GUCUAUGGCCAUGCCACCCUGAAUAAGCCCGAUGUCUCAUGUCAGAAGCUAAGUAGGGUUGGGCUGGUUAGUACUUAGAUGGGAGACCACCCAGGAAGACCAGGUGCUGUAGGCA